ACAACAAACCAGCCGCACCACUCCAUCUAUUCCCCCUUUCACCGCCGCCUAUCACCCAAUCCCGCCCAAACUCGGACGAGUUCACCCGAACCCACUCGCCCAUGGUCCCCCUCUCAUUCUCCACGUCACCCAAACCCUAACAAACUCUGACACAAGAAUAUUCCAUCCCUUCUCUCACGCGUUUCUUUGAUUUUGAGGAUCAAAUUCGGAUAAAUGGAGACCGUUGAUUGAUUUACAAUCAAUCCUCGCAUUCCAUCUGUCCCGAAUUGGUUCUAGAGAGUGAUUUCCAGAAUUUCAGAUUUUUUAGGGAGUUUGUUUUUGGAUUUUCUUGGGGGAAAAGUAUGGAAGCUUCUAGGUUCCCUAUAUAAAGGGUUCAUUUUAGGAUUUUUAGGGGAUUUGUGGGGAGAAAAUAUUUGGAUAAAAAAAGAAGAAAGGGUUCUAGGGUUUUGAGAAAUUCCAUCUUCUUCAAUUUUCCUUUCCGAUCUAUCUGUUUAUUUAGAUUUCAAAAUCAGAAAAAAAAAAUACAAAAAAAUAUACUUCUGUUUCUUCAUUUCAAUUUCGGAAAUUUGGUUUUGAAAAUGGAGUCAAGCUGAAGUGGGUGUCCGAUUUGGAGUUUCCGUUCGAGAUUGGUCCAUGGAUUCCUGUUGAUUAUUCUGGUUGAUGUUCUAGUUUCGACGUUGGAUUUUCCUGUAAUUGCUGCUUCCGAACAGAAAAUAUAUUGAGGAAAGCUACUUAAAGGUCCCUCUCUUCUCUGUUCUUACUUAUGUGCUUGCUUAUACGUUGAAUGAUCUAAGAGCAAGAUAAGUGCUCAGAUGUGAUUAGUUGUUAAAUUACGGUAGUCUUGAAAGCUCUUAAACCAAAGGUAUUAGAAUUUCUAUUCUUAUAUGCAUAUAUUAUUUUACAGUUCUUAUACUACUUUGUAGUAGUAUAUUUUGAAAGUUUAAUUUCUUUUGUUGGCAUUCUUCCUUUUUAGUAGUAUAUCAGUAGGUUAUUUCCAACAUGAUUUGAAGUUCUUUUUUGGUCGUCACUUUAUGGAAAGAGGAUUUAAUCUUGUAGAUGUACUUUUGGUUCAUAUUGGCAGUAGUCUUUCCUUUAGAUUUUUGGAUUUUUUUUAGUUAGUUAUUGAGAUGGUUUGAAAAACUCCUUUAGUCUUUGCAUUCUUACUGUUUAGUUUUUCGUUUUUAUUAUUUUUCUUUCUCUUUUCCCUCAUUUUGGAGUAUUUAAAAGUCAAUGUCCUCCUUUAGGUGUUACGUUUUCAAUCAUCACUGUGUUCAAUUAGUUUUCUCUAUAGUAAGUUAAUUUAAGUGUUAGAGUAAUACAAUUAAUAGUCACAGAUGGGCCUUUAUCUUGCUUUAGUCAUUUCUUUUGUUACUUAUUAUUUAGUUCACUUAUAUGAUGGACUGAUUCUGUGUGCUUGAUGGUUUCCGAGAAAUUGCAAACAAGAGAAAAUUAUGAACAAAGAGUGAAAAUUGCUUGAAUUGGGCCGUGGGGUGAUGUUAAAUAUGAAAAAUCAGACCGUGAAUGUUUAAUUGUUUUGCUUUCAUUGUUUUCUUAACGUUAGGAGCAUACUUAGGCCGUCAACACUAGGGUAGGCAAAAUUUAGGUAUUGUCUUUAUUUCAUUCGAGGUGAGAGGUCAUCCCCUUUAGUUUAUUUCAGGGGAAUGCCCUGCAAAUUUUGUAUAUAUUUUUAUUUGGGGUUUGCCCUGUAGUGAAUGUAAUUGGAGGCCGUGACGGACAUCUUGGAUGAGCAUAGUAUAGACUUUUAGUAUUUUCCUCUUGUUUUAUUUUUCUUUUAUUUAGGUGGGAACAACCUCGAGCCUCUUGUGUGUUUAUUUUUCUUUCGUGUGUUUUUGCCUCAGUUUGAGUAUUCUUUAAAGCCAAUUAGAUCAAAUAUGUAACCGUGACCUUCACGGGACUCGGGGAAUGCCUAACACCUUCUCCCCGAGUCAAAUGAACUCCCUUACUCAGAAUCUCUGGUGCAGUCAGUUUUAGAGUCAAAUGUGUUUUGAAGAAAAAUUAUUUUUUAAAAAAAAUGGUGACAUGGCACACCGAAUCCUUUUGAGCUUUAAAAAUUACUUUUUAUCCAUUUUAAAGAGGGUUAAGGUGAAAAAAGUGGUGUGUCAAGAUCAAUAACUAACUUUUCCGCCAUUUUUUUCACCACAACAAAUAUUGUUGGUAAAUAUGCUAAUUUUUUGCAACAAUAAUUUUUGUUGUUAAAUGUUCUCAUAAGUCAUAAGCCACAUUUACAUGACUUGUUACCAAUAAAAUAUACUUUAAGGCAACAAUAAUUUUUGUUGCUUGUUGGUUGUUGCGAAUACUGCGUGCAACAACAUUUUUGUUGUUGCCAAAACUACUUUUAGCAACAACAUUUGAUUUAUGGCAAAUCAAAUGCCUUCUUUCUUGUAGUGACGCACUUUUCAACCUUUAUCAGGGUUUAAUUUGUUGGUGGGGCAUUUUACGUGGGGGUAAGUGGGUCGGUUCAUGGGUCGGUUAGCAUGGAUCCGAGUAAAUAAAAUUUAGGAUAGGUCACUUUAAUCCCUAGGUGCCAUGACAUCUGAUUGCGUCUCCAACUUUAUGAUCUUUCUUCAGCAGUGAAAAAAAAAAAUUCCCGAGGUGCCACAUAUUAUUCCAUCCAAAUUAUGGUAUUUUUGAAUCAAACUGUAAGGUAGGGGCUCAAACAAACAGAUAAAAUUGAGUAAAACAACUUAGGACAUAACUAAAGAGGAAAAACACAUCAACACUAGCACGUAUCUUUCUCCCACAUGCAAUGAUUUGUUAAUUCUAAAAGAAAAGAGUUAGACUUCCUCCGGCAAAUACAAAGUGAGCCGAAUUCAGUGCAAAUUGCGUAAAACAAAAAAUAGCAACAUUAUUUUUAGUUCUACAAUGAUGAAAUUAAAUUCCCUAAUGAAGUUGCGUUUUAUUUCUAAAGAUAUCAUCUAGGUUCAAAACGCAUUAUAUACUGUAGUACUAUUUUACAAGUGACUAAUUGACUGUCAUACCUUAGGCAUUGAAGUGAUGGAUGUUUCAAAAGGAAGCAUAGAUCUGCAUCUGAGUCAAAAUGUGCUCAAAGUUAUCUGUGGACUUCUCAAUGGGAUGUGAAUGCAUGCCUUCGUAAGUAGUUACUACUACUCCUUCAUCCUUUGACAGCCUUUGUACUUGUUUCUUCACGUUACAUCCUUGAUGCGUGCAUCGGUAGUAGCUUCUGAGAUGAGCAGCACAAGCAAUAAUUAGAGAUAAUUUAAAGAAGGAAUUUCCGUACAUUCUCUUCGAAUUGAAACUGGUAUUCUCACUAUGACAAAAUGGUUUUUGUUUUUGUUUCUAUUUCGAUUCCGGAGAACCGAAUAAAUUGAUAUUAGGCUAAUAUUUCUCUCAAAAUGAUUUCUCUUUUAUUAGUUUCCCAUUAUUAAAUUUAUUGAUAUUUUAUCAACAUGCUUAAACGUAAAAAAAAUAAAUUAUUUUAUGUUCUUUCUGAAGGCCGUUUAAUUAAUCCUCGAUAUAGUAAAUAACGGAUAAAUAAGUAGAAAAGAAGGAUAUAAAUAUUUAAAUAAUCAAGUUCCAUUCACUCAAAUCAGAGGCGUACCUACUUUAGGGUUAGGGGGUCAUGGGUACCCAUUAGCCUCGGAAAAAAUACUGUAAAUAUAUUUUAUAUGUAUUUGUAUGUACAUUGGAGAGUCAUUACCUCCCUGGACGCUAAUGCAGCAAAGAGUGUGAGUGCACUCUCUUUUAAGCGCGUGGGAGUGAAGAAAAAUUAAAAAAUCAUCUUACAAGUAGGUUAUUUUUUAACUUUUAAUUGCAUAUAGUCAUAUAUAAUGAUUUAUUUGUUACAACUAUGUAUUUCUUCUUGUUUCAUCUUAACAUAUAAUAUGGACUUUACUCUAACUUUUAUUCUUUUUAAUUUCUUCUAUAGAUAUAAUGUCUAUUUGUUCCAACUGCAUAUUUUUUUUGGGGGGCCAAAUUUGUAAAAGUUUGCUUGGAACUCCAUCAUUUUAGCCAAAUAAAAUAUUUUUAGCAAAAAUAAUAGAGUACUAGUUGUGUAUUUUCUGUUAUUUGUUUUCUUUAGAUAUAAUAUCUAUUUGUUUUAAUUUUGUAUGUAUAUUUUUGAGUCAAAUCAGUAAAAAAAAAUGGCUACAACUCCAUUAUUUUUACCAAAUAAAAAAGGUAUAGCGAAAAUAAUAAACUUGCAAUUGUACACUCUUUUUAUUUCUUCUUUUGAUGCAAUGACUAUUUAUUUCAACUGUGUAUUUUUACUUUUUCUGGUAAUAUUUGUAAAAAAAUAAUAUUUUUAGAGCUCCAUAAUUUAGAGCUAUAUAAAAAAUUACAGUCAAAAUAAUAAAAAUCAAACUAUGUAUUUUUAUAUCUUUUUAGAUGCCUUGACUAUUUAAUUCAAUUGUAUAAAUCUUUACUUUCAGGUUUAAUUCAAAAACAAUAAUUACGACUUUAUUAUUUUUAGCCAAAUAAAAAAUAAUUAGCCUAAAUAAUGUAGUUCUAACCAAGUUUCAUUAUAAAUAUUAUUAGAAAAGGAUUAUCGAAAAAAGUAACACACUUGAAAAGGUAUAAAAAAUAUUUUAUUUUUCAAAAAAAUAACCACCAUGGACAGGAAAAUACCACGUGGCNNNNNNNNNNNNNNNNNNNNNNNNNAAACUUGCAAUUGUACACUCUUUUUAUUUCUUCUUUUGAUGCAAUGACUAUUUAUUUCAACUGUGUAUUUUUACUUUUUCUGGUAAUAUUUGUAAAAAAUAAUAUUUUUAGAGCUCCAUAAUUUAGAGCUAUAUAAAAAUUACAGUCAAAAUAAUAAAAAUCAAACUAUGUAUUUUUAUAUCUUUUUAGAUGCCUUGACUAUUUAAUUCAAUUGUAUAAAUCUUUACUUUCAGGUUUAAUUCAAAAACAAUAAUUACGACUUUAUUAUUUUUAGCCAAAUAAAAAAUAAUUAGCCUAAAUAAUGUAGUUCUAACCAAGUUUCAUUAUAAAUAUUAUUAGAAAAGGAUUAUCGAAAAAAGUAACACACUUGAAAAGGUAUAAAAAAUAUUUUAUUUUUCAAAAAAUACCACAUGGACAGGAAAAUCCACGUGGCAGGUGAGUGCAUGCCACUUUUCUAGGAUGAGAUCGUCUAAGGGGGUAAUAGCUAUUGAAUAACCAAGUAUAGGGGGUAAUUAAUAACGCGGAUAGUUCAAGAAUGUAAUCAAUAAUACGUGCCAAAUUUAGAAGGUUUUUAAGGUAUUUUAUUUUUUUAAUUCUUUAAUACUUGUGCACAAUAGUCAACCUAUAGUUUUAACCCUUUUAAAGCUCAAAAACAAAAGUAAUCCUUCUGACUCUCACCUAUCUUUUUCAAACAAAAGUAAAAUCCUCUACUAACCCCUCCUGCUCAAAAAUAGAAAAUAAAAAAAACUUUUUAAACUAUUGUUUUAACUUUAUUCAGCGUUUGCUCGAGCUCGACUCCGACCGUCCGAAUUGGCAAUGACUACUAAGUUUGAGACUCUUCUUCAGUUGAAACAGUAAGUUUAUUUGAGUAAAUUUUAAUUUUCUUUGAGUAAUUUUUUUUCUUUUGAAAAUAUUAACAUAGCAAAAUAAUUUGAUAUCAAACUUUUGCUUUCUGCAAAGAGUUUUAAAGCCAAAAAGAGAAUUUAAAGUUUAUAUUUUGUUGAUAAAUUAUCAUACUCAUUAUGUUUUUAUAGAGUUACACGUCAAAUUUUAUCACUAGUAAUUGGCAUGCUUACAAUGAUGCCCCGUCAUGCUCAAAUCUUGGUCAACCUCGACUCAAAUGGUUUUUCUCUCUCUUUGACAGCUAUAACGAGUUCGUAUUCUUUCCACUGCUUGAAAGAAGCUGCCAUCUUGACACUUAGCAGAAUUUGGAUUAAUUAGUUCCACCUUACUUUUCCCAUAUCUAAGUCCUUAGGUAGUUGAAAUUGGUACUCCUGGGGAAAUAAUAGCAAAUUAUCGAUUUAAAUUAGUGAACUUUUUGCUUUUUUCUCUUUUUUUUUUUCCUUCUCUUUAGACUUAUGUGCUGCUCCCUUUUAUUGUUUGAAUUACUGUAUCUUAUCUGAAGGAUAUCAGUAGGACAUUACUCAUGGAUGUUACUUUAUCUAUGAUCGACCUAGUCAGAUCAGUUUCGUAGUAGUAGUUAAAUAUGAAUUGACUCCCAGCUGUAUCAUGGUUAAGUGAGAGAGUCCAAUUUAUUACAUUUCCUAGAAUUUCUUAUCAUUUCAUUUUUCAUGUUUCCACACCAAAACUUUCAGUAUCCAUACUUUUGAUCACAAUAUAAUACUCAUUGAAAUGUAUACCAAUAGUUAAAUUUGGGUUCAACUAGUCCUACCAAACCUCGGUGCUUCCGGAUCAAUCCUUAAACGUCAAUCUCUUAUUUGUGAUCAAAGGGCUAAUUGAGUUACUUUGCACGUUUUGAUUUUUAAUUUAUCCACUAUUUAACGUAAAAUAAGUAAUUUUCCUAGGCAUGUGAAGCUCCACAAUUAUAGUGGUGCAAUAGUUAUUGUUAAAAAGUAGAAACCAAUCAGCAAACAAAGAGCACUUCUAAACCUUAAUGUAUAGGUCUAUUUGAGUCGGGUCACAACAUUUUUUUGUGAAUAUCAUAAAACUAAUUUUAAUUAAUCUUGACUAGGUUGCUGUGAAAAUUUUUAGGUGUAUGGAAAUUGACUUGAGAAAUACGCCUAAAUGCUUAACAAAAAGAUAAAUUUCCCUUCCUAGUUGAAAAUACUUUGUUACCUUUUGAUCCCUGAAUACGGUUAAAACCAGGCCCAUCCGAUUUUACUGUUUGACCGAGACCGGGAGUUUGCAUCGAAGGACGGUCUCGUAACGGAAUAGGCCAUAUCACGAGGAUAAGGUACCGAGCUCAGAACCGAGGUACCUGUCGAGAUCGAGGCUAGUAGUGAUCGAAGCCAAAUGAGACAGACAUCGAACAAGAUCGAAGAUAGCAUAAUAACAGAAAGACAAAAUAUCCGUGGCUGGCCGAGGAUCAUGGCAUAAAUCUCGGUAACUGGUCGAGGAUCAUGGCGUAAAUCUCGAAACGGAUCAAAUCAGAAACGGUUAAUUAGCCAAUCAUGAGGUUUCUUUCUAUAAUUAGAAUUGUACCAUAAGUGAAACUUCUCUAUUAUAUAAAGCGGGGUUCUAAUCAUUUGUAGGGCACGUUUUGACAGACACAAAAAGCAAUAUAAUUCUCUUUAUUGUUCUCACCAUUGUUAUUCAGCUUGUUAUACUUUCAUAGUUCUUGCAUCAACCAGUUAAAGGGUGUCCAAACUCAAGGGCUGAGUUUCAUUCUAACACUGGUUUGCUUUACUUUAUUAAUAAUUUUUAUUACUCAUUCUCAAAUUUAUCAAUUAGUAUUAGGUGA
RNAcentral lists this long non-coding RNA (7339 nucleotides) under Nicotiana tabacum (common tobacco). RNAcentral describes it as "long non-coding RNA (NTAB_LNC000567)". The record is from RNAcentral. Lineage: Eukaryota; Viridiplantae; Streptophyta; Magnoliopsida; Solanales; Solanaceae.